This 73-nucleotide transfer RNA is filed under the name Eutypa lata UCREL1. RNAcentral describes it as "tRNA-Phe (GAA) (tRNA-Phe-GAA-3-1)". It matches the Rfam family "tRNA". Rfam says of the family: Transfer RNA (tRNA) molecules are approximately 80 nucleotides in length. Their secondary structure includes four short double-helical elements and three loops (D, anti-codon, and T loops). The record is from RNAcentral. Lineage: Eukaryota; Fungi; Ascomycota; Sordariomycetes; Xylariales; Diatrypaceae.
GCGGGGAUAGUUCAGUUGGGAGAACGUCAGACUGAAGAUCUGAAGGUCGUGCGUUCGAUCCGCACUCACCGCA